RNAcentral lists this long non-coding RNA (795 nucleotides) under Malus domestica (apple). RNAcentral's name for it is "long non-coding RNA (MDOM_LNC003691)". Lineage: Eukaryota; Viridiplantae; Streptophyta; Magnoliopsida; Rosales; Rosaceae. The record is from RNAcentral.
UUUUUUUCCCCCUUUUUCUUAUGGGACAAAAUAAAUAAAUCAAAAUCUACUUAGUAAAUACAUAUACUAUUGAAUUUGAUGGGAAACGCAUUGUACACAAUUAGUUUUAACGAUCGAAUCGUCAACCUUGUUUGCAUAUACUUCGAGAUCGCAUAUGUCAAAAAUCGUAAAAAACAAACAAUCAGAUAUCAAGUAACGGGACAAACCUUUUCAACGCUUAUAAACGAAAAUCACAAUUUAACAGUUAUUUGAACUCCGAUCUUGAUGAUUUUUUACAGCUACCCUCCUUAACCCUAUAUGAAUACAACGAACUAAUUUUAUCAUCAAUUUAAAAUAUUUACACAAGUGGAUACUACAAAAUCUUAUGUUAUGCUUGAUGAAAGUAUUAAUAAACUCAAGUGUUAGGGAAUCUAUCGUUUUGAUGGGAUACGCAUUGUAAAAAACUAAUUUCAACGAUCCAACCGUCAAACUUUUUUGUAUAUACUUCGAUCGCAUAUGGCAAAAAUAAAAAAAAAAUUCAGAUAUCAAGUAACGGGACAAACCUUUUCGACGGCUAGAAACGAAAAAUCACGAUUUAACGGUUGUUUUAACUCUGAUUUUGAUGAUUUUUUAUAUCUACACUCUUUAAACCUAUAUGAAUACAAUGAACAAAUUCGAUCGUCAAUUUAAAACAUUUACACAAGUGGAUACCACAAAAUCUUAUGUUAUACUUAGUGAAAGUAUAAAUAAACUCCAAGUGUUAAUGAAUCUAACGUUUUGAUGGGAUACGCAUUGUACGAAACUAAUUUCAAAGAU